UUAAGUGUGCUUACCAUGCAGUCGAACGGUGAAGCCAAGCUUUGGAUCAGUGGCGAACGGGUGAGUAACACGUGAGCAACCUGCCCUGGACUCUGGGAUAAGCGCUGGAAACGGCGUCUAAUACUGGAUAUGAGCUCUCAUCGCAUGGUGGGGGUUGGAAAGAUUUUUCGGUCUGGGAUGGGCUCGCGGCCUAUCAGCUUGUUGGUGAGGUACUCACCAAGGCGUCGACGGGUAGCCGGCCUGAGAGGGUGACCGGCCACACUGGGACUGAGACACGGCCCAGACUCCUACGGGAGGCAGCAGUGGGGAAUAUUGCACAAUGGGCGGAAGCCUGAUGCAGCAACGCCGCGUGAGGGAUGACGGCCUUCGGGUUGUAUUUAGCAGGGAAGAAGCGAGAGUGACGGUACCUGCAGAAAAAGCGCCGGCUAACUACGUGCCAGCAGCCGCGGUAAUACGUAGGGCGCAAGCGUUAUCCGGAAUUAUUGGGCGUAAAGAGCUCGUAGGCGGUUUGUCGCGUCUGCUGUGAAAUCCCGAGGCUCAACGCCUGCAGUGGGUACGGGCAGACUAGAGUGCGGUAGGGGAGAUUGGAAUUCCUGGUGUAGCGGUGGAAUGCGCAGAUAUCAGGAGGAACACCGAUGGCGAAGGCAGAUCUCUGGGCCGUAACUGACGCUGAGGAGCGAAAGGGUGGGGAGCAAACAGGCUUAGAUACUAGUCCACCCCGUAAACGUUGGGAACUAGUUGUGGGGACCAUUCCACGGUUUCCGUGACGCAGCUAACGCAUUAAGUUCCCCGCCUGGGGAGUACGGCCGCAAGGCUAAAACUCAAAGGAAUUGACGGGGACCCGCACAAGCGGCGGAGCAUGCGGAUUAAUUCGAUGGCGAAGAACCUUACCAAGGCUUGACAUACACCAGAACACCGUAGAAAUACGGGACUCUUUGGACACUGGUGAACAGGUGGUGCAUGGUUGCCGUCACCUCCGGGCCUGAGAUGUUGGGUUA
RNAcentral lists this ribosomal RNA (998 nucleotides) under Microbacterium enclense. Its description in RNAcentral is "bacterial SSU rRNA". It matches the Rfam family "Bacterial small subunit ribosomal RNA", at positions 38 to 1082 of the family's 1533-position model. Lineage: Bacteria; Bacillati; Actinomycetota; Actinomycetes; Micrococcales; Microbacteriaceae. The record is from RNAcentral.